Molecule: ribosomal RNA, 1432 nt
Filed under: uncultured organism
Description: 16S ribosomal RNA
Rfam family: Bacterial small subunit ribosomal RNA
Source: RNAcentral
GAUGAACGCUAGCUACAGGCUUAACACAUGCAAGUCGAGGGGCAGCAUGGUCUUAGCUUGCUAAGGCCGAUGGCGACCGGCGCACGGGUGAGUAACACGUAUCCAACCUGCCGUCUACUCUUGGACAGCCUUCUGAAAGGAAGAUUAAUACAAGAUGGCAUCAUGAGUCCGCAUGUUCACAUGAUUAAAGGUAUUCCGGUAGACGAUGGGGAUGCGUUCCAUUAGAUAGUAGGCGGGGUAACGGCCCACCUAGUCUUCGAUGGAUAGGGGUUCUGAGAGGAAGGUCCCCCACAUUGGAACUGAGACACGGUCCAAACUCCUACGGGAGGCAGCAGUGAGGAAUAUUGGUCAAUGGGCGAGAGCCUGAACCAGCCAAGUAGCGUGAAGGAUGACUGCCCUAUGGGUUGUAAACUUCUUUUAUAAAGGAAUAAAGUCGGGUAUGGAUACCCGUUUGCAUGUACUUUAUGAAUAAGGAUCGGCUAACUCCGUGCCAGCAGCCGCGGUAAUACGGAGGAUCCGAGCGUUAUCCGGAUUUAUUGGGUUUAAAGGGAGCGUAGAUGGAUGUUUAAGUCAGUUGUGAAAGUUUGCGGCUCAACCGUAAAAUUGCAGUUGAUACUGGAUAUCUUGAGUGCAGUUGAGGCAGGCGGAAUUCGUGGUGUAGCGGUGAAAUGCUUAGAUAUCACGAAGAACUCCGAUUGCGAAGGCAGCCUGCUAAGCUGCAACUGACAUUGAGGCUCGAAAGUGUGGGUAUCAAACAGGAUUAGAUACCCUGGUAGUCCACACGGUAAACGAUGAAUACUCGCUGUUUGCGAUAUACUGCAAGCGGCCAAGCGAAAGCGUUAAGUAUUCCACCUGGGGAGUACGCCGGCAACGGUGAAACUCAAAGGAAUUGACGGGGGCCCGCACAAGCGGAGGAACAUGUGGUUUAAUUCGAUGAUACGCGAGGAACCUUACCCGGGCUUAAAUUGCAGAUGAAUUACGGUGAAAGCCGUAAGCCGCAAGGCAUCUGUGAAGGUGCUGCAUGGUUGUCGUCAGCUCGUGCCGUGAGGUGUCGGCUUAAGUGCCAUAACGAGCGCAACCCUUGUUGUCAGUUACUAACAGGUUCCGCUGAGGACUCUGACAAGACUGCCAUCGUAAGAUGUGAGGAAGGUGGGGAUGACGUCAAAUCAGCACGGCCCUUACGUCCGGGGCUACACACGUGUUACAAUGGGGGGUACAGAGGGCCGCUACCACGCGAGUGGAUGCCAAUCCCCAAAACCUCUCUCAGUUCGGACUGGAGUCUGCAACCCGACUCCACGAAGCUGGAUUCGCUAGUAAUCGCGCAUCAGCCACGGCGCGGUGAAUACGUUCCCGGGCCUUGUACACACCGCCCGUCAAGCCAUGGGAGCCGGGGGUACCUGAAGUGCGUAACCGCGAGGAGCGCCCUAGGGUA